RNAcentral lists this ribosomal RNA (254 nucleotides) under uncultured bacterium. RNAcentral describes it as "partial 16S ribosomal RNA". It matches the Rfam family "Bacterial small subunit ribosomal RNA", at positions 524 to 776 of the family's 1533-position model. The record is from RNAcentral.
UACAGAGGCGGCAAGCGUUGUUCGGAAUUAUUGGGCGUAAAGAGCACGUAGGCGGCUGUGUAAGUCGGUUGUGAAAGCCUUCCGCUCAACGGAAGAACGGCAGCCGAUACUGCAUGGCUUGAGUGCGGGAGGGGAGAGUGGAACUUCUGGUGGAGCGGUGAAAUGCGUAGAUAUCAGAAGGAACGCCGGCGGCGAAAGCGGCUCUCUGGCCCAUAACUGACGCUGAGUGUGCGAAAGCUAGGGGAGCAAACGGG